Molecule: non-coding RNA, 107 nt
Organism: Oryza nivara
Lineage: Eukaryota; Viridiplantae; Streptophyta; Magnoliopsida; Poales; Poaceae
Source: Rfam
AUCCCAUGAUGAGGACAGGUGGCCACAUACUCCUGAAGUCAUUCCCAUGCUUCAGGAAUGGACUCGUCCCUCGUCUGCUGGAAAAUGCAAAUCCUUCCACGAAGGGC